CCUACGGGUGGCAGCAGUGAGGAAUAUUGGUCAAUGGACGAGAGUCUGAACCAGCCAAGUAGCGUGAAGGAUGACUGCCCUAUGGGUUGUAAACUUCUUUUAUAAAGGAAUAAAACGAGGCACGUGUGCCUUUUUGCAUGUACUUUAUGAAUAAGGAUCGGCUAACUCCGUGCCAGCAGCCGCGGUAAUACGGAGGAUCCGAGCGUUAUCCGGAUUUAUUGGGUUUAAAGGGAGCGUAGAUGGGUUGUUAAGUCAGUUGUAAAAGUUUGCGGCUCAACCGUAAAAUUGCAAUUGAUACUGGCAGUCUUGAGUACAGUUGAGGUAGGCGGAAUUCGUGGUGUAGCGGUGAAAUGCUUAGAGAUCACGAAGAACCCCGAUUGCGAAGGCAGCUUACUAAACUGUGACUGACAUUGAUGCUCGAAAGUGUGGGUAUCAAACAGGAUUAGAUACCCGAGUAGUC
Molecule: ribosomal RNA, 460 nt
Filed under: uncultured bacterium
Lineage: Bacteria
Description: partial 16S ribosomal RNA
Rfam family: Bacterial small subunit ribosomal RNA
Source: RNAcentral